Molecule: ribosomal RNA, 685 nt
Filed under: uncultured Paracoccaceae bacterium
Lineage: Bacteria; Pseudomonadati; Pseudomonadota; Alphaproteobacteria; Rhodobacterales; Paracoccaceae
Description: bacterial SSU rRNA
Rfam family: Bacterial small subunit ribosomal RNA
Source: RNAcentral
CGGCAGGCCUAAUACAUGCAAGUCGAGCGCAUCCUUCGGGAUGAGCGGCGGACGGGUGAGUAACGCGUGGGAAUAUGCCCUUCUCUAAGGAAUAGCCUCGGGAAACUGAGAGUAAUACCUUAUACGCCCUUCGGGGGAAAGAUUUAUCGGAGAAGGAUUAGCCCGCGUUAGAUUAGGUAGUUGGUGGGGUAAUGGCCUACCAAGCCUACGAUCUAUAGCUGGUUUGAGAGGAUGAUCAGCCACACUGGGACUGAGACACGGCCCAGACUCCUACGGGAGGCAGCAGUAGGGAAUCUUAGACAAUGGGGGAAACCCUGAUCUAGCCAUGCCGCGUGUGUGAUGAAGGCCUUAGGGUCGUAAAGCACUUUCGCCAGAGAUGAUAAUGACAGUAUCUGGUAAAGAAACCCCGGCUAACUCCGUGCCAGCAGCCGCGGUAAUACGGAGGGGGUUAGCGUUGUUCGGAAUUACUGGGCGUAAAGCGCACGUAGGCGGAUUAGUAAGUUAGAGGUGAAAUCCCAGGGCUCAACCCUGGAACUGCCUUUAAUACUGCUAGUCUUGAGUUCGAGAGAGGUAAGUGGAAUUCCAAGUGUAGAGGUGAAAUUCGUAGAUAUUUGGAGGAACACCAGUGGCGAAGGCGGCUUACUGGCUCGAUACUGACGCUGAGGUGCGAAAGUGUGGGGAGCAA